This 639-nucleotide ribosomal RNA is filed under the name Pseudobiceros pardalis. RNAcentral's name for it is "eukaryotic LSU rRNA". It matches the Rfam family "Eukaryotic large subunit ribosomal RNA", at positions 405 to 861 of the family's 3401-position model. Lineage: Eukaryota; Metazoa; Platyhelminthes; Polycladida; Pseudocerotidae. The record is from RNAcentral.
CCGCUGAGAGGCAAACUGGUGGAACUGAAAUGGUCCCGAGGAAUUCAGCCGCUGGUGGUUGCACAGUCUUUGGUGCUUGAUUUAACGACAUCGCCAUUGAAUGACGUUUCCAUCAUCGGUGCACUUUCCUCGCAAUGGGCCCGACCACGACCGGUGAGCCGAUCUGUCUGUCGUGUUUGGAAGAUAGCGCCAUCUUCGGAAGGCGUGUUAUAGACUUGCACACGGAGCAGUCGGCGCACUGGAUGAAAGUGCCUGCCCUCUGGGCUCAUAUGGCGGUUGUUUUGUUGGCGAGUUCCGAUGUCACUACUUCGGUAGAGUCGUUGGACUGUGUCGGCAUUACGGCUGUCCUCUAUGAUUGGCACUGGUAAGUCUGUGGUUGUGAAGUAGGUAGUCCACCUGACCCGUCUUGAAACACGGACCAAGGAGUCUAACAUGUGCGCGAGUCAUUGGGUUCACGAAACCUAAAGGCGCAGUGAAGGUAAAGAUCUGCUUUGGCAGAUUGAGGUGGGAUGCUGGGUUACGCGCCCAGCCGCACUACCGGCCCGUUCUAUAUGUAUCUCAUAGGAGCGGAGCAAGAGCGUACACGUUGGGACCCGAAAGAUGGUGAACUAUGCUUGCGCAGGUCGAAGCCAGAGGAAA